RNA transcript from Populus nigra (black poplar), 1935 nucleotides. It is a transcript of the gene named F-box/LRR-repeat protein 25-like, with no coding region annotated. NCBI's taxonomy places the organism in Eukaryota, Viridiplantae, Streptophyta, Magnoliopsida, Malpighiales, Salicaceae. The transcript is spliced from 4 exons. The record is from RefSeq and is a predicted model, not a curated record.
UUCACUCCAACCAACCGACAGAUCACUAAAGAAGUUGCCGCCUCCUCCACCUGUCAUUCCAUGCGGGUCGGGUUCGUGGAUCAUAUCUACAACCACCAAUCCCUUCUCAGUCCGGCUCACCGCCGUUGUUUUCUUCUCUGCGUUCCUAGACUGGGUCGGGUAUCACUGAUCCUCCACCGCGUCCUCUGGUUAUCGGGGUCUUAGGUUUUCAUAAAGAUGGAAGACAGAGAAGCUGGAUUACAAGACAGAUUGAGCGAUCUACCAGACUACAUAAUUCACGAAAUCCUUUGUUUCCUCGAGAUUAAUCAAGCGAUCCGAACUUCUGUCUUGUCCAAAAGAUGGAAAAACUUGUGGGCUUCUGUUCCAGACCUGAAUUUCAACAGCAAAGGUUUUACAGAACAAACGUUUCCUAAGUUUCUCCGAAGAGUUAUGUCCAAACGGGAAGAUAGCAACGUUCGGAGACUUGACAUGUUUGCCCAUUUGCCCAUUCGUCUCUCAUCAAUGGAGGGUUUGAUAAAUUACGCAGUGGCUCAUCAGGUUGAGGAUUUUCGGUUUGUUUCUGAUGAUGUCCAACCUGUUUCUUUACCAGCAUGUGGUUCCUUGAAGACCCUUUUCUUAUCUCGAUGUAAGUUUGGUGAUUUGCUGACAUCUUUUGGUUUCGGUUUUGUUAAUCUGACCUCGUUGGACUUGUAUGUGUGUUGGUUUUGUUAUUCUGAGAAUGAUUUUGGUGACCCUUUUGCUAGUUGUCGGAAUUUGAGGAGGUUAUGCCUCCGUUAUUGUCGGUUUCCAUCUUUGAAAAGGUUGAAAAUUACUGGGUUUCAGCUGGUUAGCUUAGAAAUUCAAGGGUUCGGCUAUGGUGAUCGAGGGUUACAAGAUGGUUGUGAGGUUGAGAUUUUUGCGCCGAAUCUGUUGUCUUUUGUGUACAAAUUCUCCAAACCAGUGGAUUUCUGUGGGCUUCAUUUUCCAUCUCUUGAUUAUGUUGAGGUCCAUGUUUGGCAACAUGGUACUGAUGAGGCUACUGAUCAUGACAAAAGAAGGGCCAGUCUGUUCUUGAUGAGUAUGUUUGAAGGCUUUGGGAAUGCACAAUCUGUCAAGUUAUAUUGCGAAACCAUUCAGGUUCUUGAUUUGGUUGAUGGAUUGCUAGAACAACAACCUUCUCCCUUUAAAAGAUUGAAGAAAGUAGAUGUGCAAUGUAAUCGUGAAUCAUUCAAGGUACCUGCUCAUGUGACAAACUACUUACUCGCUGGCACUAUUGGGCAGGAACUACAUCUAGAGGUUAUUGAGCUGAUCGGAACAUGCAAACUGUUGGUGGACCUUUCUUUUUCCUUCUCUCCCUCCCUCCAAUGCUGACUCCCCUAUCUAUUUGGAGCAUCGAAAUCUAUUAUUUGCUUUUAUAUGUGCAUAUCUAUUUAGUCUUAAUACCCUUUUUUGCUUUCUGUUAUCCAGUUCAUAUUGUCUUGACAAUGUUGUGAGGCACUGGCUGAAGAUUUAGUCUAAUGCAUCACCUCUUCAUCUUCUUGCAGCAAAGGCGUCCAUACAUUGUGAAUAUUUUGUCUUGUCUCAGCAAGCAAGUGCAUGGAAAGUCCGCUUCAUCUUCAUAACAACACUCCCAGAAAGGCUGAAAAGGAAUGUAGGAGAAACUAAGUUGUGCACAAUCGCUUAAGAAAGAAAACUUCAAGUUUAGUCACCAAUCUAUGCUUUUUGUCUUCUUUUUUUCCAAGUAUAUACACAAUCAAUUUCCUUCAUUCAGAACCUCUUGCUAGAGGACAUUUGUGAAGUCAAUGCUGCAACGAUUGUGCAGGUUAUACUCUCUGAUCUUUCCAGAGCUUUAAAAUGUUGCUAGAGUAGAUAGUAGUAAUUGCAAAAAUCCUCCUUUUGGAUUCUAUUGUAAAUUUCAAUGAAAAAUGAAUUUAAUGCUGUGAUUAAGAUGAAGAA